AAGUCGUAACAAGGUCUCCGUUGGUGAACCAGCGGAGGGAUCAUUACUGAGUUAUUAAAACUCCAAACCCUUUGUGAACCUUACUGUCGUUGCCUCGGCGUGAGCUACGGCUACCCUGUAGCUACCCUAUAGCUACCCUGCAGCUACCCUAUAGUUGACCAGUAGCUACCCUGUAGUUACCCUAUAGCUACCCUGCAGCUACCCUAUAGUUGACAUGUAGCUACCCUGUAGCCGGCUUAUGGCCCGCCGAAGGACCGCUAAACUCUUGUUUUUUACCACUGUUUCUCUGAAUUGUAAACUUAAAUAAGUUAAAACUUUCAACAACGGAUCUCUUGGUUCUG
RNAcentral lists this unclassified non-coding RNA (341 nucleotides) under Hypoxylon investiens. RNAcentral's name for it is "partial internal transcribed spacer region". The stretch from base 1 to 46 matches the Rfam family "Eukaryotic small subunit ribosomal RNA", at positions 1786 to 1831 of the family's 1831-position model. Lineage: Eukaryota; Fungi; Ascomycota; Sordariomycetes; Xylariales; Hypoxylaceae. The record is from RNAcentral.